Molecule: unclassified non-coding RNA, 307 nt
Filed under: Hevea brasiliensis (rubber tree)
Lineage: Eukaryota; Viridiplantae; Streptophyta; Magnoliopsida; Malpighiales; Euphorbiaceae
Source: RNAcentral
ACUAUCCAUUCUUCAGCAGCAGGUACACAAUUGCCAUUUGAAAGAGAAGGAGACUAAUAACACAGUGACGCUUCUGGAAAAUGAAUUGAAGGAGCUGCAGGGAAAGUUACACCUCUUAACUGAGGAUAACAAAGAGUUACAUGGAAAGCUAAUCGGUAAAGAUGAAGAAUUGAGAAAAUUAUCUACUGAAUGGGAAUUGUUGGCUUGUGAGAUAGCAGAAAUUCUUGCGGAUGGGCAAGAAGCACUUACUGAUGCAUCUGAUCAGCUUGACCUUAUCUCCAGUACCUUUCCACAUAAAAGGAUUUGG